This 254-nucleotide ribosomal RNA is filed under the name uncultured bacterium. RNAcentral describes it as "partial 16S ribosomal RNA". It matches the Rfam family "Bacterial small subunit ribosomal RNA", at positions 524 to 776 of the family's 1533-position model. The record is from RNAcentral.
UACGUAGGCAGCAAGCGUUGUUCGGAGUUACUGGGCGUAAAGGGUGUGUAGGCGGUUGUUUAAGUUUGGUGUGAAAUCUCCCGGCUCAACUGGGAGGGUGCGCCGAAUACUGAAUGACUAGAGUGCGGGAGAGGAAAGGUGGAAUUCCUGGUGUAGCGGUGAAAUGCGUAGAUAUCAGGAGGAACACCGGUGGUGUAGACGGCUUUCUGGACCGUAACUGACGCUGAGACACGAAAGCGUGGGUAGCAAACAGG